GGUCAAGCGAAUAAGCGCACACGGUGGAUGCCUAGGCGGUCAGAGGCGAUGAAGGACGUGGUAGCCUGCGAAAAGUGUCGGGGAGCUGGCAACAAGCUUUGAUCCGGCAAUAUCCGAAUGGGGAAACCCACUGCUUCGGCAGUAUCCUGCAGUGAAUUCAUAGCUGCUGGAAGCGAACCCGGUGAACUGAAAUAUCUAAGUAACCGGAGGAAAAGAAAUCAACCGAGAUUCCCUAAGUAGUGACGAGCGAACGGGGAACAGCCCUUAAGCUGGAAUGGCUUUAGAAAAACAAUCUGGAAAGAUUGGCCAUAGAAGGUGAUAGCCCUGUAUUUAAAAGGGCCACUCCAGUGAAGACGAGUAGGGCGGGGCACGUGAAACCCUGUCUGAAUAUGGGGGGACCAUCCUCCAAGGCUAAAUACUCCUGACCGACCGAUAGUGAACCAGUACCGUGAGGGAAAGGCGAAAAGAACCCCGGAGAGGGGAGUGAAAUAGAUCCUGAAACCGUGUGCGUACAAGCAGUAGGAGCUCGCAAGAGUGACUGCGUACCUUUUGUAUAAUGGGUCAGCGACUUACUGUUCGUGGCAAGCUUAACCGUAUAGGGGAGGCGAAGGGAAACCGAGUCUGAUAAGGGCGCAUAGUCGCGGGCAGUAGACCCGAAACCGGGUGAUCUAGUCAUGGCCAGGGUGAAGGUGCCGUAACAGGUACUGGAGGCCCGAACCCACGUCUGUUGCAAAAGACGGGGAUGAGCUGUGAUUAGGAGUGAAAAGCUAAUCGAACCCGGAGAUAGCUGGUUCUCCUCGAAAGCUAUUUAGGUAGCGCCUCGGACGAAUACUACUGGGGGUAGAGCACUGUUAUGGCUAGGGGGUCAUCGCGACUUACCAAACCAUUGCAAACUCCGAAUACCAGUACGUACUAUCCGGGAGACACACGGCGGGUGCUAACGUCCGUCGUGAAAAGGGAAACAACCCAGACCCACAGCUAAGGUCCCAAAUUCACUGCUAAGUGGAAAACGAUGUGGAAAGGCAUAGACAGCCAGGAGGUUGGCUUAGAAGCAGCCACCCUUUAAAGAAAGCGUAAUAGCUCACUGGUCGAGUCGGUCUGCGCGGAAGAUUUAACGGGGCUAAGCAGUGAACCGAAGCUUGGGGUGCGUAAAACUUCGGUUUUAUGCGCGGUAGAGGAGCGUUCCGUAAGCCUGCGAAGGUGGAUUGAGAAGUCCGCUGGAGGUAUCGGAAGUGCGAAUGCUGACAUGAGUAACGAUAAUGCGGGUGAAAAGCCCGCACGCCGAAAGCCCAAGGUUUCCUUGCGCAACGUUAAUCGACGCAGGGUUAGUCGGUCCCUAAGGCGAGGGCGAAAGCCGUAGUCGAUGGGAAGCAGGUUAAUAUUCCUGCACCUCGCGUGAGUGCGAUGGAGGGACGGAGAAGGUUAGGUGUACCGGGCGUUGGUUGUCCCGGGGAAAGGCGGUAGGUUUGGAUCUUUGGCAAAUCCGGGAUCCUUUAAGACCGAGCACCGAGACGAGCCUUUAUGGCGAAGUCACUGAUACCACGCUUCCAGGAAAAGCUCCUAAGCUUCAGCUCACGAAGACCGUACCGUAAACCGACACAGGUGGGUAGGAUGAGAAUUCUCAGGCGCUUGAGAGAACUCGGGUGAAGGAACUAGGCAACAUGGCACCGUAACUUCGGGAGAAGGUGCACCCUUUUUGGUGGCUCAUGCGAGCUAUAGCUGAAGAGGGUCGCAGAAACCAGGCCGCUGCGACUGUUUAUCAAAAACACAGCACUCUGCAAACACGAAAGUGGACGUAUAGGGUGUGACGCCUGCCCGGUGCUGGAAGGUUAAUUGAUGGGGUCAGCCGCAAGGCGAAGCUCUUGAUCGAAGCCCCAGUAAACGGCGGCCGUAACUAUAACGGUCCUAAGGUAGCGAAAUUCCUUGUCGGGUAAGUUCCGACCUGCACGAAUGGCGUAACGACAGCGGCGCUGUCUCCACCCGAGACUCAGUGAAAUUGAAAUCGCUGUGAAGAUGCAGCGUUCCCGUGGCAAGACGGAAAGACCCCGUGAACCUUUACUAUAGCUUUACACUGAACGUUGAGUUCGUCUGUGUAGGAUAGGUGGGAGGCUAUGAAACUGUGGCGCUAGCUGCAGUGGAGCCAUCCUUGAAAUACCACCCUGUCGUGCUUGACGUUCUAACCUAGAUCCGUUAUCCGGAUCAGGGACCGUGUAUGGUGGGUAGUUUGACUGGGGCGGUCUCCUCCUAAAGAGUAACGGAGGAGCACGAAGGUACGCUCAGCGCGGUCGGACAUCGCGCACUGUGUGCAAAGGCAUAAGCGUGCUUGACUGCAAGAUCGACGGAUCAAGCAGGUACGAAAGUAGGUCUUAGUGAUCCGGUGGUUCUGUAUGGAAGGGCCAUCGCUCAACGGAUAAAAGGUACUCCGGGGAUAACAGGCUGAUACCGCCCAAGAGUUCAUAUCGACGGCGGUGUUUGGCACCUCGAUGUCGGCUCAUCACAUCCUGGGGCUGUAGUCGGUCCCAAGGGUAUGGCUGUUCGCCAUUUAAAGUGGUACGCGAGCUGGGUUCAGAACGUCGUGAGACAGUUCGGUCCCUAUCUGCCAUGGGCGUUGGAAGUUUGAGAGGGGCUGCUCCUAGUACGAGAGGACCGGAGUGGACGAACCUCUGGUGUUCCGGUUGUCACGCCAGUGGCAUUGCCGGGUAGCUAUGUUCGGAAGCGAUAACCGCUGAAAGCAUCUAAGCGGGAAGCGCGCCUCAAGAUGAGACUUCCCGGGGCACAAGCCCCCUAAAGGAACCAUAUAGACUAUGUGGUUGAUAGGUCAGGUGUGUAAGUACAGCAAUGUAUUGAGCUAACUGAUACUAAUGAUCCGUGCGGCUUGACCAU
Molecule: ribosomal RNA, 2883 nt
Filed under: Xanthomonas hortorum
Lineage: Bacteria; Pseudomonadati; Pseudomonadota; Gammaproteobacteria; Lysobacterales; Lysobacteraceae
Also listed under: 3 other names
Description: 23S ribosomal RNA
Rfam family: Bacterial large subunit ribosomal RNA
Source: RNAcentral